UAGGGAAUCUUCGGCAAUGGGGGCAACCCUGACCGAGCAACGCCGCGUGAGUGAAGAAGGUUUUCGGAUCGUAAAGCUCUGUUGUAAGUCAAGAACGGGUGUGAGAGUGGAAAGUUCACACUGUGACGGUAGCUUACCAGAAAGGGACGGCUAACUACGUGCCAGCAGCCGCGGUAAUACGUAGGUCCCGAGCGUUAUCCGGAUUUAUUGGGCGUAAAGCGAGCGCAGGCGGUUUGAUAAGUCUGAAGUUAAAGGCUGUGGCUCAACCAUAGUUCGCUUUGGAAACUGUCAAACUUGAGUGCAGAAGGGGAGAGUGGAAUUCCAUGUGUAGCGGUGAAAUGCGUAGAUAUAUGGAGGAACACCGGUGGCGAAAGCGGCUCUCUGGUCUGUAACUGACGCUGAGGCUCGAAAGCGUGGGGAGCGAACAGGAUUAGAUACCCUGGUAGUCCACGCCGUAAACGAUGAGUGCUAGGUGUUGGAUCCUUUCCGGGAUUCAGUGCCGCAGCUAACGCAUUAAGCACUCCGCCUGGGGAGUACGACCGCAAGGUUGAAAC
Molecule: ribosomal RNA, 554 nt
Filed under: uncultured bacterium
Lineage: Bacteria
Description: partial 16S ribosomal RNA
Rfam family: Bacterial small subunit ribosomal RNA
Source: RNAcentral